This 1353-nucleotide long non-coding RNA is filed under the name Gallus gallus (chicken). Its description in RNAcentral is "long non-coding RNA NONGGAT007835". The record is from RNAcentral. Lineage: Eukaryota; Metazoa; Chordata; Aves; Galliformes; Phasianidae.
CGUUCACACCUGUAGCGCAUUACAGGAGGUCUCCAGUCCAACCAGUCCCCCAGUAAGGAUGGCAACAGCACAACAUCUGCGGGCAGCCAAAUUCUAUCCUUGGCUGUCCUUCUGCUGAGAGUUUCUCCACAUACAAACUCCCUGUAGGAAGAGGUUCAGUCAGAGGUCAAACAGAAACACAAUUCAACUUGAAAGCACAAAAGUUCAUAAGCAACCAGACUCUGGCAGUUCUCCUGCUCACAAACCUACUUGAUUUAUUUGGUAGAAAAUAAAGGAUAAACCAAACAGCAAGCAUAGGCCAAGUGUUCAAAUACUGCAGCCUGGUGAAGCUCAGAGAGAAGAGGCAAAAGCAGAAGUCCACAGUCCUUUUUGCCAACAGCUAUGACACAUGUGGGCACAAUGGGAGUUCAGCCUAUCUUGCAAAGGACCAGAGUUUUGGAAUCAAGGCAUCACAGCAAGGCAGAAGAAAUAAGGGAGGCCCGGAGACACGCUAACUCAUCCCCAGAGCACUGCCAGCCUCUCAGAAGCCAGGCUCUGCAUCACCAGAAGGCCUCCUGCCCUGACUGGACGUCACACUCCUCCUGAUGCAGCCUUCCACCUUUUGCCCAAAGGCUCAAUGAGCCACCAUGGAGGCUCAACCCUCAGCCCGUGCCUUAUGUGACCUGCGUUGUGCCCCGGGGGUGCCUGUGGGGACAUGGUCCAGAUUGAUGCAGCAGCAGGGAAGGCGCAGGCCUCUCAGCCUCCAUCCUAAUGCCCAACGUCCCUACCUGCUCUUAGGCCAAACUUCUCUUAACACAAUGGCAGAACGUGGCCCAGCAUUCAGCACUCGAGAAAUUUUAAAAAUAGCAGUGCCUCAAUUAAAUUGAGGGUAUGAAUCCAGCAGUGGCCAUACCUUCACAGGGGCAAGCAUUUAUCCCUCAUUUCAUCACCCACAGUCAGUUUGUAUUUGGCCAGGACCAAGACACAAAAUGUAUUUGCGUGCUCAAUCAUUUAAAGCAAGCAAAAAUCAGUUACAAGAACAACAACAAAAGUAUGCAUUUUGGUCAACAUAUGGCUGUGUAAACAGCAUCUGGCUCCCAGAUAACACUUAUGGGCAAUUAAGUUGAAGCACGGCUGUGGUCCUGCAGUAAUCUCACAUGCAGUUACAUACAUAAGAUUUGGAGAAGCAGGGCUCCAGUUCCUGUCAAAAGAAAAAAGUUUUCCAGGGUACUGUGUUAAACACAUUUUCAGCUCAUCCUUUAGUAAGUCUCCGGGUUUAAAUCCCAUUCUCAGCUGCUUACACUCUUAAGUCUUUGCAUUCAAGCUGCAGAACGUGUAUUUUCACAUUACUUUUGCUUUGAAACUGGGACCGUG